UGGUAGCCCAACGGAUUAGAGCAUCUGACUACGGAUCAGAAGGUUGCAGGUUCGAAUCCUGUCCGGC
Molecule: transfer RNA, 67 nt
Filed under: bovine gut metagenome
Rfam family: tRNA
About the family: Transfer RNA (tRNA) molecules are approximately 80 nucleotides in length. Their secondary structure includes four short double-helical elements and three loops (D, anti-codon, and T loops).
Source: RNAcentral